RNAcentral lists this ribosomal RNA (466 nucleotides) under uncultured bacterium. RNAcentral describes it as "bacterial SSU rRNA". It matches the Rfam family "Bacterial small subunit ribosomal RNA", at positions 339 to 796 of the family's 1533-position model. The record is from RNAcentral.
CUACGGGAGGCAGCAGUGAGGAAUCUUGCGCAAUGGGGGCAACCCUGACGCAGCAACGCCGCGUGAGUGAGGAAGGUCUUCGGAUCGUAAAGCUCUGUCAGUUGGGAAGAAACGGCUGGAGGUCAAUACCCUUCGGUCUUGACGGUACCAACAGAGGAAGCACCGGCUAACUCCGUGCCAGCAGCCGCGGUAAUACGGGGGGUGCAAGCGUUGUUCGGAAUUAUUGGGCGUAAAGAGCGUGUAGGCGGCCUGAUAUGUCAGAUGUGAAAGCCCUGGGCUUAACCCAGGAAGUGCAUUUGAAACUGUCAGGCUCGAGUAGGGGAGAGGGAAGUGGAAUUCCUGGUGUAGAGGUGAAAUUCGUAGAUAUCAGGAGGAACACCGGUGGCGAAGGCGACUUCCUGGCCCUAUACUGACGCUGAGACGCGAGAGCGUGGGUAGCAAACAGGAUUAGAUACCCGUGUAGUCC